This 200-nucleotide ribosomal RNA is filed under the name uncultured bacterium. RNAcentral's name for it is "partial 16S ribosomal RNA". It matches the Rfam family "Bacterial small subunit ribosomal RNA", at positions 8 to 219 of the family's 1533-position model. The record is from RNAcentral.
AGAGUUUGAUCCUGGCUCAGGACGAACGCUGGCGGCGUGCUUAAUACAUGCAAGUCGAACGGUGCAGCAAUGCAUAGUGGCGGACGGGUGAGUAACGCGUGAGUAAUCUGCCUUUAACUGGGGAAUAACCAUGGGAAACCAUGGCUAAUACCGCAUAUGACCACAAUGCCGCAUGGCGAAGGGGUGAAAGAUUUAUCGGU